Molecule: long non-coding RNA, 2331 nt
Organism: Bos taurus (domestic cattle)
Lineage: Eukaryota; Metazoa; Chordata; Mammalia; Artiodactyla; Bovidae
Source: Ensembl
GUCCUUUAUCGAGCCCAUCUUUGCAUGAAAUGGUCCCUUGGUAUCUAAUUUUCUUGAAGAGAUCUCUAGUCUUUCCCAUUCUGUUGUUUUCCUCUAUUUCUUUGCAUUGAUCGCUGAGGAAGGCUUUCUUAUCUCUCCUUGCUAUUCUUUGGAACUCUGCAUUCAAAUGGGUAUAUCUUUCCUUUGCUCCUUUGCUUUUUGCUUCUCUUCUUUUCACAGCUAUUUGUAAGGCCUCCUCAGACAGCCAUUUUGCUUUUUUGCAUUUCUUUUCCAUGGGGAUGGUCUUGAUCCCUGUCUCCUGUACAAAUGUCAUGAGCCUCCAUCCAUAGUUCAUCAGGCACUCUGUCUGUCAGAUCUAGUCCCUUAAAUCUAUUUCUCACUUCUACUGUAUAAUCAUAAGGGAUUUGAUUCAGGUCAUACCUGAAAGGUCUAGUGGUUUUCUCCACUUUCUUCAAUUUACGUCUGAAUUUAGCAAUAAGGAGUUCAUGAAGUGAGCCACAGUCAGCUCCCUAUCUUGUUUUUGCUGACUGUAUAAAGCAUCUCCAUCUUUGGCUGCAAAGAAUAUAAUCAAUUUGAUUUCGGUGUUGACCAUCUGGUGAUGUCCAUGUGUAGAGCCUUUUCUUGUGUUGUUGGAAGAGGGUGUUUGCUAUGACCAGUGCAUUCCCUUGGCAGAACUCUAUUACCCUUUGCCCUGCUUCAUUCUGUACUCCAAGGCCAAAUUUUCCUGCUACUCCAGGUGUUUCUUGAUUUCCUACUUUGCAUUCCAGUCCCCUAUAAUGAAAAGGACAUCUUUUUUAGGUGUUAGUUCUAAUAGGUCUUGUAGGUCUUCAUUGAACUAUUCACUUUCAGCUUCUUCAGCAUUACUGGUUGGGGCAUAGGCUUGGAUUACUGUGAUAUUGAAUGGUUUGCCUUGGAAACGAACAGAGAUCAUUCUGUCGUUUUUGAGAUUGCACCCGAGUACUGCAUUUCGGACUCCUUUGUUGACUACAAUGGCUACUCCAUUUCUUCUAAGGGAUUCCUGCCCACAGUAGUAGAUAUAAUGGUCAUCUGAGUUAAAUUCACCCAUUCCAGUCCAUCUGAGUUUGCUGAUUCCUAGAAUGUCAACAUUCACUCUUGCCAUCUCCUGUUUGACCACUUCCAAUUUGCCUUGAUUCAUGGACCUAAUAUUCCAGGUUCCUAUGCAAUAUUGCUCUUUACAACAUCGGACCUUGUGUCUAUCACCAGUCACAUCCACAACUGGGUAUUGUUUUUACUUUGGCUCCAUCCCUUCAUUUUUCUGGAGUUAUUUCUCCACUGAUCACCAGAUUCAUAUUGGACACCUACCAACCUGGGGAGUUCAUCCUUCAGGGUCCUGUCUUUUUUGCCUCUUCAUACUGUUCAUGGGGUUCUCAAGGCAUGAAUACUCAAGUGGUUUGCCAUUCCCUUCUCCAGUGGACCACAUUCUUUCAGACCUCUCCACCAUGACCCGUCCGUCUUGGGUGGCCCCACAUGGCAUGGCUUAGUUUCAUUGAGUUAGACAAGACUGUGGUCCAUGUGAUCAGAUUGGCUAGUUGUCUGUGAUUGUGGUUUCCAUCUGUCUGCCCUCUGAUGCCCUCUGUCAGAACCUACCAUCUUACUUGGGUUUCUCUUACCUUGGACGUGAGGUAUCUCUUCACGGCUGCUUCAGCAAAGCACAGCCACUGCUCCUCACUUUGGACGUGGGGUAGCUCCUCUUGGCCGCUGCCCCUGACCUUGGAUGUGGGUCUAGCUUUGACUAGAUAUACCUUUGUUGGCAAAAUAAUGUCUCUGCUUUUUAAUAUGCUGUCUAACUUGGUCAUAACUUUUCUUCCAUGGAGCAAGCAUCUUUUAAUUUCAUGGCUACAGUCACCAUCUGCAGUGAUUUUGGAGACCCCCAAAAUUAAAGUCUGUCACUGUUUCCAUUGUUUCCCCAUCUAUUUGCCAUGAAGUGAUGGGACCAGAUGCCAUGAUCUUAGUUUUCUGAAUGUUGAGUUUUAAGCCAACUUUUUCACUCUCCUCUUUCACUUUCAUCAAGAGGCUCUUUAGUUCUUCUUCACUUUCUACCAUAAGUGUGGUGUCAUGGGCAUAUCUGAGGUUAUUGAUAUUUCUCCCAGCAAUCUUUAUUCCAGCUUAUGCUAGCUCAGUCGGUAAAGUAUCUGCCUGCAAUGCAGGAGAACUGGGUUUAAUUCCUGGUUUGGGAAGAUCCCCUGGAGAAGGAAAUGGCAACCCACUCUAGUAUUCUUGCCUGGAGAAUCCCUUGGACAGAGGAGCCUGGCAGACUACUGUCUAUGCGGUCGCGAGAGUUGGACAUGACUGAGCGACUAAGCACACACA